This 497-nucleotide ribosomal RNA is filed under the name uncultured bacterium. RNAcentral describes it as "partial 16S ribosomal RNA". It matches the Rfam family "Bacterial small subunit ribosomal RNA", at positions 28 to 507 of the family's 1533-position model. The record is from RNAcentral.
GAUGAACGCUGGCGGCGUGCCUAAUACAUGCAAGUCGAGCGAACAGACGAGGAGCUUGCUCCUCUGACGUUGGCGGCGGACGGGUGAGUAACACGUGGAUAACCUACCUAUAAGACUGGGAUAACUUCGGGAAACCGCAGCUAAUACCGGAUCAUAUAUUGAACCGCAUGGUUCAAUAGUGAAAGACGGUUUUGCUGUCACUUAUAGAUGGAUCCGCGCCGCAUUAGCUAGUUGGUAAGGUAACGGCUUACCAAGGCAACGAUGCGUAGCCGACCUGAGAGGGUGAUCGGCCACACUGGAACUGAGACACGGUCCAGACUCCUACGGGAGGCAGCAGUAGGGAAUCUUCCGCAAUGGGCGAAAGCCUGACGGAGCAAUGCCGCGUGAGUGAUGAAGGUCUUCGGAUUGUAAAACUCUGUUAUUAGGGAAGAACAAAUGUGUAAGUAACUAUGCACGUCUUGACGGUACCUAAUCAGAAAGCCACGGCUAACUACGUG